AUUGAACGCUGGCGGAAUGCUUUACACAUGCAAGUCGAACGGCAGCACGGACUUCGGUCUGGUGGCGAGUGGCGAACGGGUGAGUAAUGUAUCGGAACGUGCCCAGUCGUGGGGGAUAACGUAGUGAAAAUUACGCUAAUACCGCAUACGAUCUAUGGAUGAAAGCGGGGGAUCGCAAGACCUCGCGCGAUUGGAGCGGCCGAUAUCAGAUUAGGUAGUUGGUGGGGUAAAGGCCCACCAAGCCAACGAUCUGUAGCUGGUCUGAGAGGACGACCAGCCACAAGGGAACGGAGACACGGCCCAGACUCCUACGGGAGGCAGCAGUGGUGAAGGUUGGACAAUGGGCGAAAGCCUGAUCCAGCCAUUCCGCGUGCAGGAUGAAGGCCAUCGGGUUGUAAACUGCUUUUGUACAGAACGAAAAGGUUUCUACUAAUACUAGGAGCUCAUGACGGUACUGUAAGAAUAAGCACCGGCUAACUACGUGCCAGCCGCCGCCGUAA
Molecule: ribosomal RNA, 500 nt
Filed under: uncultured bacterium
Lineage: Bacteria
Description: partial 16S ribosomal RNA
Rfam family: Bacterial small subunit ribosomal RNA
Source: RNAcentral